AUCUAAGGCCAAACCACCUUUAACGCGCCCGAACUAAUCUGAUCAGAGAAGCCAAGGAGGGUCGGGUCUGGUUAGUACUUGGAUGGGAGACCUCCUUUGAAUACCGGGUGCUGUAGGCU
RNAcentral lists this ribosomal RNA (119 nucleotides) under Neogale vison (American mink). Lineage: Eukaryota; Metazoa; Chordata; Mammalia; Carnivora; Mustelidae. The record is from RNAcentral.